RNAcentral lists this ribosomal RNA (254 nucleotides) under uncultured bacterium. RNAcentral describes it as "partial 16S ribosomal RNA". It matches the Rfam family "Bacterial small subunit ribosomal RNA", at positions 524 to 776 of the family's 1533-position model. The record is from RNAcentral.
UACGUAGGGACCAAGCGUUGUUCGGAUUUACUGGGCGUAAAGGGCGCGUAGGCGGUCAGCACAAGUCAGUUGUGAAAUCUCCGGGCUUAACUCGGAAAGGUCAACUGAUACUGUGCGACUAGAGUGCGGAAGGGGCAACUGGAAUUCUCGGUGUAGCGGUGAAAUGCGUAGAUAUCGAGAGGAACACCUGCGGCGAAGGCGGGUUGCUGGGCUGAUACUGACGCUGAGGCGCGAAAGCCAGGGGAGCGAACGGG